GAUAAGGAUUUCUCACACAGAUAUGAUAACAUUAGAUCAGACUGGAGUAGAAUCUACACUACUAGGGAAGGUCUUCUAAAACAGUUGGAAUAUGUGGAAAGUACCACACCUUAUAGCCUAAAGUUACAAAAGGUACUUGGACGAUGGCAGAAGACAGCUGGGAGAAACUGUCCGUGAUGUUUUUCACUUUCCAGGUGUAAAAGGACAUAAAAUGAUAAUAUGUAUGAAAAGGGAAA
This 236-nucleotide long non-coding RNA is filed under the name Carica papaya (papaya). RNAcentral's name for it is "long non-coding RNA (CPAP_LNC015536)". Lineage: Eukaryota; Viridiplantae; Streptophyta; Magnoliopsida; Brassicales; Caricaceae. The record is from RNAcentral.